AUUGAACGCUGGCGGCAGGCCUAACACAUGCAAGUCGAGCGGAUGAAGGGAGCUUGCUCCUGGAUUCAGCGGCGGACGGGUGAGUAAUGCCUAGGAAUCUGCCUGGUAGUGGGGGAUAACGUCCGGAGACGGGCGCUAAUACCGCAUACGUCCUGAGGGAGAAAGUGGGGGAUCUUCGGACCUCACGCUAUCAGAUGAGCCUAGGUCGGAUUAGCUAGUUGGUGGGGUAAAGGCCUACCAAGGCGACGAUCCGUAACUGGUCUGAGAGGAUGAUCAGUCACACUGGAACUGAGACACGGUCCAGACUCCUACGGGAGGCAGCAGUGGGGAAUAUUGGACAAUGGGCGAAAGCCUGAUCCAGCCAUGCCGCGUGUGUGAAGAAGGUCUGCGGAUUGUAAAGCACUUUAAGUUGGGAGGAAGGGCAGUAAGUUAAUACCUUGCUGUUUUGACGUUACCAACAGAAUAAGCACCGGCUAACUUCGU
This 483-nucleotide ribosomal RNA is filed under the name uncultured bacterium. RNAcentral describes it as "partial 16S ribosomal RNA". It matches the Rfam family "Bacterial small subunit ribosomal RNA", at positions 30 to 506 of the family's 1533-position model. The record is from RNAcentral.